GUGCCAGCAGCCGCGGUAAUACGUAGGGUGCGAGCGUUAAUCGGAAUUACUGGGCGUAAAGCGUGCGCAGGCGGCUCUUUAAGUCAGAUGUGAAAGCCCCGGGCUUAACCUGGGAACUGCGUUUGAAACUGGAGGGCUGGAGUGUGGCAGAGGGAGGUGGAAUUCCACGUGUAGCAGUGAAAUGCGUAGAGAUGUGGAGGAACACCAAUGGCGAAGGCAGCCUCCUGGGCCAACACUGACGCUCAUGCACGAAAGCGUGGGGAGCAAACAGGAUUAGAAACCCCAGUAGUCC
Molecule: ribosomal RNA, 292 nt
Filed under: uncultured bacterium
Lineage: Bacteria
Description: partial 16S ribosomal RNA
Rfam family: Bacterial small subunit ribosomal RNA
Source: RNAcentral